This 497-nucleotide ribosomal RNA is filed under the name uncultured bacterium. Its description in RNAcentral is "partial 16S ribosomal RNA". It matches the Rfam family "Bacterial small subunit ribosomal RNA", at positions 28 to 507 of the family's 1533-position model. The record is from RNAcentral.
GAUGAACGCUGGCGGCGUGCCUAAUACAUGCAAGUCGAGCGAACAGACGAGGAGCUUGCUCCUCUGACGUUAGCGGCGGACGGGUGAGUAACACGUGGAUAACCUACCUAUAAGACUGGGAUAACUUCGGGAAACCGGAGCUAAUACCGGAUAAUAUAUUGAACCGCAUGGUUCAAUAGUGAAAGACGGUUUUGCUGUCACUUAUAGAUGGAUCCGCGCCGCAUUAGCUAGUUGGUAAGGUAACGGCUUACCAAGGCAACGAUGCGUAGCCGACCUGAGAGGGGGACGGGCCACACUGGAACUGAAACACGGUCCAGACUCCUACGGGAGGCAGCAGGGGGGAUUUGCCGGAAAUGGGCGAAAGCCUGACGGAGCAGCGCCGCGUGAGUGAAGAAGUUCUUGGGAUCGAAAACCUUUUUUAUUGGGGAAAAAAAAUUGUUAAAGAAAAUAUGCCCGUUUGGACGGUACCUAACAAAAAAGCCACGGCUAACUACGUG